This 485-nucleotide ribosomal RNA is filed under the name uncultured bacterium. RNAcentral's name for it is "bacterial SSU rRNA". It matches the Rfam family "Bacterial small subunit ribosomal RNA", at positions 791 to 1274 of the family's 1533-position model. The record is from RNAcentral.
UAGUCCACGCCGUAAACGAUGGUCACUCGCUGUUGGCGAUAUAGUGUCAGUGGCUGAGCGAAAGCAUUAAGUGACCCACCUGGGGAGUACGUUCGCAAGAAUGAAACUCAAAGGAAUUGACGGGGGGCCCGCACAAGCGGUGGAGCAUGUGGUUUAAUUCGAUGAUACGCGAGGAACCUUACCAGGGCUUAAAUGUAGAAUGACAGAUCUGGAAACAGAUCCUUCUUCGGACAGACUACAAGGUGCUGCAUGGUUGUCGUCAGCUCGUGCUGUGAAGUGUCGGGUUAAGUCCCAUAACGAGCGCAACCCCUAUCUUCAGUUGCCAGCGGGUAAUGCCGGGGACUCUGGAGAAACUGCCACCGUAAGGUGAGAGGAAGGUGGGGGAUGGACGUCAAAUCAUCACGGCCCUUACGUCCUGGGGCUACACACGUGCUACAAUGGGUCGGUACAGAGGGGCAGCUACCACGCGAGUGGGAUGCGAAUCU